AGGUGGUAGGGGACCAGGUUGUCAAGGCGACGAGAAGAGGCGGACCGCAGAGGGUGAUCGGCCACCUGGUAACUAGGACACGGUCCAAAGUACAACGUGAGGAAGUAGUGUGGAAUAUUGCACAAGGGGCGAUCGCCGGAUGGAGCAUCGCCGAGGGAUUGAUGAAGGCCGUCGGGUCGUGAAACUCUGUCCUCAAGGAAGAUAAGGGCGGUACUUGAGGAGGAAGCCCCGGCUAACUACGUGCCAGUAGCCGCGGUAAUACGUAGUGUGCUAUCGUUAUCCGGAUGUACUGGGCGUAAAGGG
This 303-nucleotide ribosomal RNA is filed under the name Clostridioides difficile. RNAcentral describes it as "bacterial SSU rRNA". It matches the Rfam family "Bacterial small subunit ribosomal RNA", at positions 247 to 567 of the family's 1533-position model. Lineage: Bacteria; Bacillati; Bacillota; Clostridia; Peptostreptococcales; Peptostreptococcaceae. The record is from RNAcentral.